Molecule: unclassified non-coding RNA, 655 nt
Filed under: Hevea brasiliensis (rubber tree)
Lineage: Eukaryota; Viridiplantae; Streptophyta; Magnoliopsida; Malpighiales; Euphorbiaceae
Source: RNAcentral
GACAAAGAUGUAUCCACCGAGCACUUCAUUUCUGGGCAGCGUCUCUGUUGCUGGCAAUGUCUUGAAUCUUUUGUCAGCGGCAUUGAUGGAGUUAGCAUUUUCACCAAUGUUAUUGUUGGCACUGCUGUAAUUGGUAAGAUCUUUGUUGACAUAGUCAUUGCCACUGUACUUGGUACCAGGCAGAUUUCCAGCAACAUUUGUAUUGUUUUUGCCAUAAACUGCACUCAUGUUGUAAGUUCCAUUCCUCAAUGAACUUUUGUUAACAGGGUCAGUAAUUUUUGAAUCCAGGCUCAACAUGUUAAAGUUGAAGCUUUCAAAUUUGUUAUCUUCCUGAAAACCAAACUUUUCCCUUGGCCUUGCAUCAAGAGAGCUCUUUGAAAAAUCAAGGUUAUUCAGGUGCUCCCCCUUUGAUCUUGUCUGCUCAGCCAGUUUAGAUGCAGCCCAUAACCAUUUAUGAUCCUCAGAGACUUUCGUCUGACCUCGCAGCUCAUCUCCCAAUUGCCAAAAGCUAUAUGAACCAUCCAUCUUGCAGCACUUGAUUGUGAUCACGAUGAAUGAACAAAGAUCCCUCAGAGUAAGAAGCCCUAGAUUUAGGGAUCCAGAAUUGUGAGAGAGAACAGUCUUUAUAUCUGCUUGGCUGAGAAGCCGAGCGACA